UACGUAGGUGGCAAGCGUUAUCCGGAUUUACUGGGUGUAAAGGGCGUGUAGGCGGGACUGCAAGUCAGAUGUGAAAAUUAUGGGCUCAACCCAUAACCUGCUUUUGAAACUGUAGUUCUUGAGUGAUGGAGAGGCAGGCGGAAUUCCGUGUGUAGCGGUGAAAUGCGUAGAUAUACGGAGGAACACCAGUGGCGAAGGCGGCCUGCUGGACAUUAACUGACGCUGAGGCGCGAAAGCGUGGGGAGCAAACAGG
RNAcentral lists this ribosomal RNA (253 nucleotides) under uncultured bacterium. RNAcentral describes it as "partial 16S ribosomal RNA". It matches the Rfam family "Bacterial small subunit ribosomal RNA", at positions 524 to 776 of the family's 1533-position model. The record is from RNAcentral.